CAGUAGCCGCGGUAAUACGUAGGUCCCGAGCGUUGUCCGGAUUUAUUGGGCGUAAAGGGAGCGCAGGCGGUUUAGUAAGUCUGGAGUUAAAGGCAUUGGCUCAACCAAUGUAUGCUUUGGAAACUGUUUGACUUGAGUGCAGAAGGGGAGAGUGGAAUUCCAUGUGUAGCGGAGAAAUGCGUAGAUAUAUGGAGGAACACCGGUGGCGAAAGCGGCUCUCUGGUCUGUCACUGACGCUGAGGCUCGAAAGCGUGGGUAGCGAACAGGAUUAGAUACCCGCGUAGUCCCUGUCUCUUAUACA
RNAcentral lists this ribosomal RNA (301 nucleotides) under uncultured bacterium. Its description in RNAcentral is "partial 16S ribosomal RNA". It matches the Rfam family "Bacterial small subunit ribosomal RNA", at positions 509 to 808 of the family's 1533-position model. The record is from RNAcentral.